RNAcentral lists this ribosomal RNA (375 nucleotides) under uncultured organism. RNAcentral's name for it is "partial 16S ribosomal RNA". It matches the Rfam family "Bacterial small subunit ribosomal RNA", at positions 527 to 896 of the family's 1533-position model. The record is from RNAcentral.
GUAGGGGGCCAGCGUUGUCCGGAUUCAUUGGGCGUAAAGAGCGUGUAGGCGGUUCAAUAGGUCCGAUGUGAAAACUCGAGGCUCAACCUCGAGAGGUCGUCGGAAACCAUUGAGCUAGAGUCCGGAAGAGGAGAGUGGAAUUCCUGGUGUAGCGGUGAAAUGCGCAGAUAUCAGGAAGAACACCGAUGGCGAAGGCAGCUCUCUGGGACGGUACUGACGCUGAGACGCGAAAGCGUGGGGGGAGCGAACAGGAUUAGAUACCCUGGUAGUCCACGCCGUAAACGAUGGGCACUAGGUGUGGGUGGUGUCGACUCCAUCCGUGCCGCAGCUAACGCAUUAAGUGCCCCCCGCCUGGGGAGUACGGCCGCAAGGCUA